Molecule: transfer RNA, 77 nt
Filed under: Candidatus Omnitrophota bacterium
Lineage: Bacteria; Pseudomonadati; Candidatus Omnitrophota
Description: tRNA-Val
Rfam family: tRNA
About the family: Transfer RNA (tRNA) molecules are approximately 80 nucleotides in length.
Source: RNAcentral
GGACCCAUAGCGCAGUUGGUUAGCGCGCCUCCUUGACAUGGAGGAGGUCACAGGUUCGAGUCCUGUUGGGUCCACCA